RNA transcript from Nerophis ophidion (straightnose pipefish), 1953 nucleotides. It is a transcript of the gene named collagen alpha-2(IX) chain-like, with no coding region annotated. The transcript has 7 exons. NCBI's taxonomy places the organism in Eukaryota, Metazoa, Chordata, Actinopteri, Syngnathiformes, Syngnathidae. The record is from RefSeq and is a predicted model, not a curated record.
CAUGGGCGUUCCAGGGGCUCAAGGUCUGAGUGGACGCAAAGGAGAGAGAGGACCCAUGGGCGUUCCAGGUGCUCAAGGUCUGAGUGGACGCAAAGGAGACAAGGGCUUCCAAAGAAGAGGUGGACCCAAAGGAGACAUUACUCCGACGUGGAGGGACUAGCUGGUGAGAAAGGGGAAAACACAGAGUGAGGAGACCUUGGACAUAAUGGUCCAACAUGGAGACUCUGGGAAGCCAGGUGAUGUAGGACCCCCUGGACUGCCUGGUCCUCGGGGGUUGAAAGGCAUGAGCGGUGUGCAUGGCAGGCCGGGUAUUGAGGGUCCACCGGGACAAGAUAUAUCUGACCAGCAUAUUAUUGAUGUGGUAUAAAGAAUGUUGCAAGAGAGGCUGGCAGCAGUAGCAGUGAGCACUAAAAGGGCUGCGCCGUUGAACAACCGGCUAUUCUGGUCCUCCGUGAUUAAUGGUUCCACAAGGACCACAUGAUUUGCCUGGUUCCCGAAGAAUUCCUGGAACGAUGGGAGCUGACAGACGGAUUGGAAACACAUGUCUUAAAGCAGGAUGUGCUCCAUUCACCUGCUGGAGAGUACUGAGCCGUUUUGAGCAGGAGGAGAAUUUAUAGGAGGUCUGCAGUGGGCGGGGCUCACGCUCAACACUGCAGUGUCGAUGUUUGACUCUCCAAAUUAGAUCCUAACAUUGUGAUGGGUCUACUCGACGUUCAUCACAACGUGGACUCGCCAAAUUAUAUCCUAACAUUGUGAUGGGUCUACUCGACGUUCAUCACAACGUGGACAACCACACAGGUAAGUAUUGUAGUGUGUUUUGAAAGCAUUAAAAUGUUUGCUUUGAUGUUUCUCCGACUCCUGUUUAUUGUUGUGUCCAAAACAAGUUUGUGUGUUAAACUUGUGGCCCCCCAACAACACACACACCACAACAAAGUCCCCAGAAGGCCCACGAAUGAUGGGACGCCACCCAGACGGACUGGAGGCACAGGCUUGGUUAGGAUUAUGGUUAGGGUUAGGAUUGGGGGAAGGGGAAUGCACAGUCCGUCUGCAGCCCGCCCGGGCGACGCCCACACCAACCCCGGAACCCCCCGAAGACCCUGAAAGGUGCGCAUGCUGCGUCAGACACCAACAGCCAAAUUAGUAGCGGACAUGACUGGUCCUGCCAUCCAGCGACGCGUUUCGGUCUCUUGACCUCUUCAGGCUGGCUUUGCACUGAUUGCAGGAUGUAAACAUCUUUUUAACUGCGAGUCUGUGCCUACUGGGACACUUCUAAUUCCCUAGUAGGUGGGGCACUUCUAAUCCCCUAGACUAACGGCAACUCUAUUUUUCUCUACAGCAGGAUGUGCUCCAUUCACCUGCUGGAGAGUACUGAGCCGUUUUGAGCAGGAGGAGAAUUUAUAGGAGGUCUGCAGUGGGCGGGGCUCACGCUCAACACUGCAGUGUCGAUGUUUGACUCUCCAAAUUAGAUCCUAACAUUGUGAUGGGUCUACUCGACGUUCAUCACAACGUGGACUCGCCAAAUUAUAUCCUAACAUUGUGAUGGGUCUACUCGACGUUCAUCACAACGUGGACAACCACACAGGUAAGUAUUGUAGUGUGUUUUGAAAGCAUUAAAAUGUUUGCUUUGAUGUUUCUCCGACUCCUGUUUAUUGUUGUGUCCAAAACAAGUUUGUGUGUUAAACUUGUGGCCCCCCAACAACACACACACCACAACAAAGUCCCCAGAAGGCCCACGAAUGAUGGGACGCCACCCAGACGGACUGGAGGCACAGGCUUGGUUAGGAUUAUGGUUAGGGUUAGGAUUGGGGGAAGGGGAAUGCACAGUCCGUCUGCAGCCCGCCCGGGCGACGCCCACACCAACCCCGGAACCCCCCGAAGACCCUGAAAGGUGCGCAUGCUGCGUCAGACACCAACAGCCAAAUUAGUAGCGGACAUGACUGGUCCUGCCAUCCA